ACUUUUAUAGGGUAGUAGUAAUCCAUUGGUCUUAGGAGCCAAAAACUUGGUGCAACUCCAAAUGAAAGAA
Molecule: transfer RNA, 70 nt
Organism: Neotoma lepida (desert woodrat)
Lineage: Eukaryota; Metazoa; Chordata; Mammalia; Rodentia; Cricetidae
Rfam family: tRNA
About the family: Transfer RNA (tRNA) molecules are approximately 80 nucleotides in length. Their secondary structure includes four short double-helical elements and three loops (D, anti-codon, and T loops). Further hydrogen bonds mediate the characteristic L-shaped molecular structure. tRNAs have two regions of fundamental functional importance: the anti-codon, which is responsible for specific mRNA codon recognition, and the 3' end, to which the tRNAs corresponding amino acid is attached (by aminoacyl-tRNA synthetases). tRNAs cope with the degeneracy of the genetic code in two manners: having more than one tRNA (with a specific anti-codon) for a particular amino acid; and 'wobble' base-pairing, i.e. permitting non-standard base-pairing at the 3rd anti-codon position.
Source: Rfam